RNAcentral lists this long non-coding RNA (232 nucleotides) under Lathyrus oleraceus (garden pea). Its description in RNAcentral is "Pisum sativum (pea) long non-coding RNA (PSAT_LNC014812)". The record is from RNAcentral. Lineage: Eukaryota; Viridiplantae; Streptophyta; Magnoliopsida; Fabales; Fabaceae.
AAAUCCCACUUCACCGGUAACUUAAAACUUGGUUUCGAUUGAUAACCCCAAUGUUCAUUGGUACUUUAAAUAUUAACCUUCAUCCCUUUAAAAAAACAAAAAAAAAUUGGUCCUACAUAGCACGUACAUAACGAAAGUUCAAUCAUACUUGGCACCUUCAUAACCCAAGCUCGAGCAUACAUCGACAUCUUGCAUAAGUAAUCAUCAUUACAUAACAUUGCAUCACUAAAAC